CAUCCUUCCAGUUCCUGGCCUCUCCUCCAACCUCAGCUGCAUUCAUCCUGCCAGGCCGGGCAUGGAAGGAUGCACAUUUUCCAAACACGCUGCUAUUGUCUGGCCCCUCUCCCAGUGGCCUGCACAUACUGGGCUUCCCCAGCUAGCGUCUUCGCCUCCCACAUGGACCGCUCUUCUCUCUGCUCCUCUAACAAGUCUCUUGAGGACUUCCUUUUCCAGGAAUAUGGUCCUUACCACAUCAGCCCUGGAGAACCUGAAAGAGGAUCACAUUGGAAGUCCCCAACACCUUUAAUGGCUCCCCAUUGCCUAUGGGAUUAAGAGCCCCAGCCUCUGGCCAUGUUGUUUCCAUGGUACCUGCAACCCCUUAUGCUAACAAAUGGGGAUCCCUCGUAACAGAAGUAUGUCAGGACUGCUGUUCCGACCCUACUCGGCAUCUACCUCACCCGGACCCCAGCCGCCCAACAAUGAAUGUG
RNAcentral lists this long non-coding RNA (473 nucleotides) under Equus caballus (horse). RNAcentral describes it as "lncRNA (ENSECAG00000056729.1)". Lineage: Eukaryota; Metazoa; Chordata; Mammalia; Perissodactyla; Equidae. The record is from RNAcentral.